This 26-nucleotide non-coding RNA is filed under the name Mus musculus (house mouse). The record is from RNAcentral. Lineage: Eukaryota; Metazoa; Chordata; Mammalia; Rodentia; Muridae.
UCACCACGAGGUAUUGUGUCCAUCUC